This 474-nucleotide ribosomal RNA is filed under the name uncultured organism. Its description in RNAcentral is "partial 16S ribosomal RNA". It matches the Rfam family "Bacterial small subunit ribosomal RNA", at positions 334 to 799 of the family's 1533-position model. The record is from RNAcentral.
CACUCCUGCGGGAGGCAGCAGUGGGGAAUUUUGGACAAUGGGGGCAACCCUGAUCCAGCAAUGCCGCGUGAGUGAAGAAGGCCUUCGGGUUGUAAAGCUCUUUUGUCAGGGAAGAAACGGUGGUGGCGAAUAACUACUACUAAUGACGGUACCUGAAGAAUAAGCACCGGCUAACUACGUGCCAGCAGCCGCGGUAAUACGUAGGGUGCAAGCGUUAAUCGGAAUUACUGGGCGUAAAGCGUGCGCAGGCGGUUGUGUAAGUCAGAUGUGAAAUCCCCGGGCUCAACCUGGGAAUUGCAUUUGAGACUGCACGGCUAGAGUGUGUCAGAGGGGGGUAGAAUUCCACGUGUAGCAGUGAAAUGCGUAGAUAUGUGGAGGAAUACCGAUGGCGAAGGCAGCCCCCUGGGAUAACACUGACGCUCAUGCACGAAAGCGUGGGGAGCAAACAGGAUUAGAAACCCCAGUAGUCCCAUG